This 411-nucleotide ribosomal RNA is filed under the name uncultured bacterium. RNAcentral's name for it is "bacterial SSU rRNA". It matches the Rfam family "Bacterial small subunit ribosomal RNA", at positions 125 to 524 of the family's 1533-position model. The record is from RNAcentral.
AUUACCGCGGCUGCUGGGGAUAGCCAUUAGAAAUAGUGGGUAAUACCGAAUACGCUUCCAUGAUUGCGGUUGUGGAAGGAAAGGCGCUACGGCGCCGACCCGAGAUGAGCCCGCGCCCCAUUAGCUAGUUGGUGAGGUAACGGCCCACCAAGGCGAUGAUGGGUAGGCGGCCUGAGAGGGUGUACGCCCACAUUGGGACUGAGAUACGGCCCAAACUCCUACGGGAGGCAGCAGCUAAGAAUAUUCCGCAAUGGACGAAAGUCUGACGGAGCGACGCCGCGUGGAUGAUGAAGGCCGGAAGGUUGUAAAAUCCUUUUGUCGGGGAAGAAUAAGCAUGGGAGGGAAUGCCCGUGUGAUGACAUGAACCGGCGAAUAAGCCCCGGCUAACUACGUGCCAGCAGCCGCGGUAAU